CUUUCCUUUUCCGAUUGAAGUUUUUGACUGAUUUCGAUACAUGUAGAUGUAGUUAUGUAUAUACAUAUAUCAUAAUCUUCGUUCAAUUUUCUGUAGAUUUCUUCGAUAUUGUGCUUGCUUUCUUUACCGAUUAAAGCUUUUGACUGAUUUUGAUUCAUAUAUUUAUGUAUCUAUCGUAUUUAAGUUUUGAUUUUGACCAAUCCAUCCACAAAAUUCUAUUAUCCAUCCAACCCGUCGAUAUAUCUGAACAUCACGAAGGGUUUGGAUUAAGUCCAGAGAGUUUGGAUCAAUGGAUUCGUUAUACAUCCCCUGCAUUGAGCAUGCGAAGCAAUGGCUUUCCAAUUCCAAUCAUCCAAUCGAUUCCGAUCCGAAUGUUACUUAUGCCCGUGUAUGGCUCCAUGGUCCCAGUCUAAGUGGAAGGUUCGAAUGAGCAAUUCCAGCAGGUAGAAAUUGAUUUCCUCCAAAAAAAUUUGAUUUUUCCCUCUUUUAUUUGAUAAUAUCAUGAUUAGACAUACUCCAUUAAAUCACAUUUGAAUUACAUAUCUGAUAAUGAUAUUAUGGUCUUUGCUAAGUUUACAUCAGUUUGUUUUGGUGAUUUUUAUUUAUCUACAACUCCCACUAUAGUGAUAAACAAAGUUAUACAGAAAGUCUAUGGUUUUGAGGCCUUUAAGAGUUGAGUUCAAUAUAAUGUAUCAAGUGUUGUUGGUUGUCUACUAUUAAUAGAA
Non-coding RNA from Camellia sinensis, 725 nucleotides. The record is from RefSeq and is a predicted model, not a curated record. NCBI's taxonomy places the organism in Eukaryota, Viridiplantae, Streptophyta, Magnoliopsida, Ericales, Theaceae.